Molecule: ribosomal RNA, 412 nt
Filed under: Rhizophagus prolifer
Lineage: Eukaryota; Fungi; Glomeromycota; Glomeromycetes; Glomerales; Glomeraceae
Description: partial large subunit ribosomal RNA
Source: RNAcentral
AGAGUUAAACAGUACGUGAAAUUGUUGAAAGGGAAACGAUUGAAGCCAGUCGUACCUGCGGACAAUCAGCCUUUCGGGUGUGAUUAUGUGGAGCGUGUGGAGCUAAACACCUUCAUGCCUGCAUAUUCGUGCUCUGGGGUGUACUUGGACGUGUGGUAGGUUAACAUCAAUUUCGAACGUCAUAAAAUGAUCGGAGGAAUGUAGCUUCGGUCUCGUACUGAAGUGUUAUAGCCUCCGGUAGAUGUGAUGAUCGGGAUUGAGGAUUGCAACGGAUACCCUUCGGGGCUACCCGUCUUAUCUCUGAAAGUUGCUCUGGUGUCGGAAGCUUGCUUACGGUCAUCAAAGUUGACGUUCAAUAGGUUAGAACGGGUUAAAUUCGUUAAGGAUGUUGACGUAAUGGCUUUAAACGACC